UGCCAUGGCCUUGACUGUCUUGAUGUUGUUUUGCACCAUGCCCUUGUGUUGACUUUUGCAUGCGAUAUUUUUCAGGCACCCGCUUUAUAUAACGCAAGAAGGCAGCUGCAAGGACACGAGGAUGUGAAAGAGCCAGUGCAGCGGGACUUCACGUAGUGCGGAGGAGCCAAUGCCAAAAAAUCAAAAUACAUUGGCAUGUUAUUUGGACAAGAAAACUAGGACAACCCAGGACGUGCAUUUCUCAGCACCCAGUCAACUGCCAAAAGUGACUCAAACACAGGCCACCAGUGGAACUCGGCUGUACCACUGCAGUGCUGCGGAAAUUGCCUUCACCAGCGGCUUUGCAACAGCUGUUUCGCAGCAUGUCGGUAUGUUUUAAUUUAUAAUU
This 388-nucleotide long non-coding RNA is filed under the name Dermacentor andersoni. Its description in RNAcentral is "uncharacterized LOC126517770". Lineage: Eukaryota; Metazoa; Arthropoda; Arachnida; Ixodida; Ixodidae. The record is from RNAcentral.